RNAcentral lists this long non-coding RNA (463 nucleotides) under Homo sapiens (human). RNAcentral describes it as "HSALNT0023159". Lineage: Eukaryota; Metazoa; Chordata; Mammalia; Primates; Hominidae. The record is from RNAcentral.
UGGAAAUUGUGGUGAAAGAAGCUACGAAUGAGAUAAAUGUGUGUUCUUUCCACCCCUAAAAACAGUGUCACCACCACUCAUCCUUGAAACCAUCAGCAGCAGGGAAACCUGUGAGCGACGUUCACGUCUAGUGUCCAGUGCCUUGCGUGGUCCCAAUCACAAACCCCUAGCUCAGGGGCAGCGGGGCCAUGAACUAGGGAGGCCGCCGUAAUGACAGCCUGGCAGGAACCCUAUGUCCAAACCAGAGGAGCCCCCUCAGAGCAACCUCCACAGGCAGUGCUGCUGUCAAGGAAAUGCCAGAGCCGGGUGGUAGUUAACAUGGCCCCACUGGAAAUAGGACUGUCCAAUUCACCUGGCAGCCACUCCCAGAGCCCCUGGAACUCUGGCCCAAGGCUCUCUGACUGACUCCUUCCCAGAUUUUCUUGGCUUAGUGGCUGAAGACUGACGCUGCCCGAUCGCCUUG